AACGAACGUUAGCGGCGCGCCUAACACAUGCAAGUCGCACGAGAAAGGGCUUCGGCCCCGGUAAAGUGGCGCACGGGUGAGUAACACGUAGGUAAUCUCCCCUCGAGUGGUGGAUAACCCUCCGAAAGGAGAGCUAAUACAGCAUGAGACCACGAGCUCUUCGGAGCUUGCGGCCAAAGCAGGCCUCUACAUGUAAGCUUGCGCUGGAGGAUGAGCCUGCGGCCCAUCAGGUAGUUGGCAGGGUAACGGCCUACCAAGCCUAAGACGGGUAGCUGGUCUGAGAGGAUGAACAGCCACACUGGAACUGACACACGGUCCAGACUCCUACGGGUGGCUG
RNAcentral lists this ribosomal RNA (337 nucleotides) under uncultured Pseudomonadota bacterium. Its description in RNAcentral is "bacterial SSU rRNA". It matches the Rfam family "Bacterial small subunit ribosomal RNA", at positions 29 to 351 of the family's 1533-position model. The record is from RNAcentral. Lineage: Bacteria; Pseudomonadati; Pseudomonadota.